Long non-coding RNA from Canis lupus familiaris (dog), 2800 nucleotides. RefSeq lists it as uncharacterized. NCBI's taxonomy places the organism in Eukaryota, Metazoa, Chordata, Mammalia, Carnivora, Canidae. The record is from RefSeq and is a predicted model, not a curated record. The transcript has 7 exons.
CCAAAGGCAGAUGGCCAGGCUGGCAAUGUCCAGAAAGUGACAACUCCUUGGUUACCCAAUUACACCUUUGAAGAAAAAUACGAAGUACCCAAAUGCUUCCAAUUAUAAUAUUCACUGUGCCGGGGAAAGACAAAGUCAAAUGUGUUAAAGGCCUAAUGAGGUGUGUGGAAGCAACCUCCCUCUGCAGUUUAUGGCUUUUUCACACUUAGUUCUCACUGCUCAGUCAGCAGGCACGAAGGGAGAGGUGAAGAAAAUGAGUAGUUGUUUUCUGGCCCAUGAUGAUGACAGAAAUAGAAUCAUAUCAAUGCUUUGAUAUUUCACACAAACCUGAUGGAAGAUUCUUAAAUAUUGUUUUGAUUUUGGCAGAAACAUCCUAAAAGAUUUCAGCCUCCUUCCCCCCAAACUCUAGCCCCGAGAGGAGAAACAAAAACCGACAGUACAGGCAAUUCCCAAGAGAUGAAACUUGCUGAAGGGACAGGCAGUAGACCACACAAAAGGAAGACUGUUGAGCUGCUUGAAGGGGCUUACUCGGUCUGUUUACAACAAGAGCACGCAUCCUGAUUGUAAUAAGUGAGCUUGGAGGGCUAGACAGGCUCUUUAAUCUCAGAAAUGACACUGUGAACUCCAGUUCACCUGCUCGAUUUAUUUACAUUGCUUUUGCCCGCUAACAAAUCCAACUCUCCAUCAGAUUAAUCAACAUUUAUCAGCCAGCGGCGGGAGCAUCAUUUCAUAACGGACUGUGCAAUUCAAUAGCAUAUGCACAGCGGGAUAAAGGAAGAGGAUGGUCAAGUCUGAGCUUUGAGGUUUAAGACUGCUUAAAGAAACCAAAGAUCAGAGAGUGAUUACUGGUGUGAGCAAAUUGGAGCAGAAUCUGCCUGAGUUUGGAAUAAGAGAAAAAGCCUGCAUCUCAAGGAAGUUUGAAUAAUAAAUCUCUGCAUAAAGCUAAAAUUCCUGAAGGAUGAUACAUUCACUGAAGAAUUAGGAAAAUGAAAUGCUUGCCCACAAAAACAAAACAAAGCAAGUCAAAAACUAACCAACCAACAAACAGAAAAUAAUCCAAAAUAUUCCUCUUUCAAUUAUUUUUAUAUCGAGCAGGAAAACAAUUUUUAAAAGGAGGUAAAACAAUUUGAAAUUAGCCACCAUAAUUGAAUAUAUUCAUAUACUAUGAUGUGGGUAGCCAUACUUGUGUAUGUAACCAGCUUACCCUUGUUUUCUUAAUCUUUUAUGUUAUCCCCUUUUCCAAAGUGUUUCAGGUUGAACAAUACACUAAGUGAUCAUCCUAUUUUAACCCAGAAACCUAGCCAUUAUACUGAAGGUCAAGUUGCCAAAAGAGACCACAUGUACACUAUCCAGUUGACAGUCCAGUUGACAGCCCAAGCUGACAGCUAACAUCAGCCAACAGCCCUAUGAAUAAGCCAUCGUGGAUGCUCAGCUAAUCAAUCCUUCAGAUAACUUCAGGCCUAACCAUCAUUUGAUGAUAACUGCAUGAAAGAUCCUAAACAACAGUCUCAUAGCUGAGCCCAGUCAACCCAUAAAAUCAUGACAGCUAUUGUUUUAAGCUACUGAGUUUUGGGAAUAUUUUGCUGUGCAGCAGUAGAAACCAGAACACUCUUUAAACUAUACUAUUCUUUCAAAUGUUUAUCUCAGUAUGUUUUGUAAUUGUGGACCUCAGUAUGUAAAUACACUGACUCAGUGAUGUUCUUUACAUCUUCAAACGAUGCCUGUGAACGUUAACUACCAGACAGGUCGCAUCAUCCUCCAUGCACCUAUUAUAAUAUUGGUAUUUGUGGAGGCACAAAUACCAAUAUUAUAAUAGGACUUAAAAUAUCUGAAUGUACUUAUGGGGGGGAUAGAGAAAAAAAUGACCCCCAAAACAGACAAAAAGCAAAGGAGAAAACAAGCUGACUUUGGUCAAAAUCUCUCAGGUCACCAAAAACCAGCUUCAUAGUUAGAAGGACCAAAAUCCAGGCCUACCCAGGGACUGAUAUAGGUGCUUGGAAUUCUAUAACAAUGAUUUGUGAGAUCAUAGCAAGAAAUGAGCCCAUUAUGUGCUGAGAGCUAAUGCUCAGUGGUUUUUUUCACUUUCUGAUCUAAGAACUUUUAAAAAAAGAAGAAGAGGAGGGGGCAAAGAGCUUUUUGUUCAUAUGGGUUACAGUGAUUGAUAUUUACCUUACUAGAAAUCAAAACCUAUAGAAUGCUUUAAAAGAAAAAAAAAAAGAUGAUCACUGAAAACUGAAAAUGUAGUUCAGUGGGGAGACAGAUCUGUUUUGGCAACAACAAAGGAAACCUUUUGAAAGACUUGAACCUUGUGACAGGCAUUAUUCUAUAUGUGUUUCAUGUGAUGUUCAUGACAACCUCACAAACUGCAAGAAUGGAUCAUCAGGUUUGAUCUUGUAACCAAAAGCUGUGCAAGUACCAAGAUCUGUGUUAUCUGAAAACACCAGCAGCAAAAGAAUAGUGGCAUCUGAUCUCACAGAUUUUAUUUUCUAGUAUCUGGUUCUUUCAUUGGAGAGUCAGAAGAACUCUUAGCCAUCCAACACUUUCAUUUUAUGGAAAGCUAUAGAAGCUUGCUGACUCCAGAUCAUUUAAAUGACAGUCAAGAAAUGCUACAGCCACUCCCCUGGAACCACUGGAGUAAGGAACAAAAGCAAAGUUUUGAGCAUCUAACUUCCUUUUACUAAGUCUCCUAAUGCAACAAUUAUCUGUGAGCACACCAACAUGUACGGGAGGAGUAAGGUGCCUGUACACCCAACAUACCAAGGCUUGAAGCUUAGAUAAACAGUUUUAUGAAAUUCCUCCA